GCAUGGAUAGCUCAGUCGGUAGAGCGACGGCCUGAAGAGCCGUGCGUCGGUGGUUCGACUCCACCUCCAUGCACCA
RNAcentral lists this transfer RNA (76 nucleotides) under Candidatus Aalborgicola bjergmarkensis. Its description in RNAcentral is "tRNA-Phe". It matches the Rfam family "tRNA". Rfam says of the family: Transfer RNA (tRNA) molecules are approximately 80 nucleotides in length. The record is from RNAcentral. Lineage: Bacteria; Pseudomonadati; Pseudomonadota; Betaproteobacteria; Burkholderiales; Comamonadaceae.